UGAAAUUCUCUUCCUCUCUUUCUCUCACACCGUGCUUCACCUCUCCUCUGUUUCUUCACACCUCGCUGAUUUCUUUCUCUUUGAUCUUUGUAAAUGCUGCAACUACCUCGAAACACUCCUUUGAUUUAUCUCUGUUAUGGUAUCAGAGCUCUUCUUUGAGAAGAGCUCUGCUGCGCGCACUCUGUCUUCGUUCUCUCAAGAUUACUUUCCUUUCUUUUCUUUACUUUUUGUGCAUUCAUCCUGUUUUGUAUCUUCUUGAUUCUCUCUAACGAUUGUUUUAUUUCUACAGUUCGUGUUCUUUUUGCACGCAAAUGGCUGACGAGAAUAGUGAAGGGAGCGAAAGCCCUAGUUCCAAUC
Molecule: long non-coding RNA, 357 nt
Filed under: Phaseolus vulgaris (common bean)
Lineage: Eukaryota; Viridiplantae; Streptophyta; Magnoliopsida; Fabales; Fabaceae
Description: long non-coding RNA (PVUL_LNC004070)
Source: RNAcentral